Molecule: ribosomal RNA, 2250 nt
Filed under: Triticum aestivum (bread wheat)
Lineage: Eukaryota; Viridiplantae; Streptophyta; Magnoliopsida; Poales; Poaceae
Description: partial small subunit ribosomal RNA
Source: RNAcentral
AUGGCCGGUGGUAAAGGAGUGCAGCAACGCACCACCUCGGGUGGUUCCCAGUCGCCGGCUCCGGAGGAGCGGCGAGGGCGCAGCCGCUCCAGGCGCGGCCAUCGCGGUGAGGUCGUGGUUAGGGAGAUCGUGCGCGAGACCGCAAUCAGCGGUAGCGUGCCCAUCACCUUCCCGAUGCUCACGCGCUCGAACUACAGUGAGUGGGCGUUGAUCAUGGAGUGCAACCUUCAUGCGGCGAGCCUCUGGGCUCCCAUGGAGGACGACCUGAUCGAGAGAAAGGAGGACAGGAAAGCCGUGGCAGCCCUCAUGCGCGCCACGCCACCGGAGAUGCACGGCAUGCUCGCGGCAAAGGCAAGCGCCAAGGAGGCGUGGGAAGCCAUCCGUACCCAGCGCCUCGGCAGCAACCGCGUGCGUGAGGCGAACGCGCAGAAGCUGCAGGCGGACUUCGAGAACAUCGCCUUCAAGGAGGGUGAGCUCGUCGACGAAUUCGCCAUGCGGAUCUCCAGCCUUGCGUCACAGCUCCGCGCGCUCGGCGACACCAUGGACGACACGAGAGUCGUGCGGAAAUUUCUCCGCGUCGUGCCAUCUCGCUUCGCUCAGGUAGCGGUCUCCAUCGAGACCUUGCUUGAUCUGAGUGAGCUCUCCGUCGAGGAGCUCACGGGCCGGUUGCGGGUGGUCGAGGACCGUCUUGACGACGGCCGCGAGAGCUUCGGCGGCGGACAACUCCUAUUCUCAAAGAAGUGGGAGGCGAGGAAGCGUCAAGGACGUGGUGGCGGUACCCAGAGCAGCAGAGGCGGCGGUCGCACCCAGGGUGGAGCCGGGCGAGGUGCCGGCAACGACGACCGGGACAAGUGCCGAUAUUGUAGCAUCAAGGGCCACUGGGCCCGUGAGUGUCGCAAGAGGAUGGCUGAUGAGGAUGCCGCGGCCGCGGCGAACCUCGUCGAGGCUGAAGAGGACGGUGGGCCAGCAAUGAUGAUGGCUUGCGUCGAGACCAUGCAGGAGGGCACAGCGCCUCCGGCAACCAUGGUCCCGACAAGCAUCGAAGCCGUGCAGGAGGGCGCAGCACCUCCGGCGACCAUGGUGCCGGCAACCGUCAAGUCUGUGCGGGAGGCACGGAGCUCUUCAAAUAAUCCCCUCCCCACAUCGGUAGCGCUCUCCCCGACAACAACGUUCUCGGGAGAUUUCGAUUGGGAGGAGAUGAAGACCCGGGUGUGGGGGAGCCACACCCCGGCAACCACGUCCCUUGUGACGCUGGUCAAGCCCGUGCAAGUUGGCACGGCAAUCGCGGCCCCGACAUCCUCGGGACCCGACAAGCCCGUGCAAGUUGGCACGGCAAAGGCGUACCCGACAUCCUCGGGACCCAAUAAGCCCGUGUCAGGAGGCACGGCAACAACGCAUAUGGUGGGCCAUGUCCCAACCAUGAUGCUGGUGACCAGUGAGAUUGUGCAAGAGGCACGACACUCUCAGGUCGGCCAUACCCCGACAACCAGGUUCUCGGGGUUCUGCAAGCCCGUGUGGGCAACACGGCACUCUUCGACGGGCCUCAACAGCUGGGAGGCCAUGAAGAGACGGUCAUGGGGCGGCAAGACCUCGACCGUGACUCUGGCGACCAUCGAGGCUGUGCAGGAGGCGCGGUGCUCUAUGGUCAGCCACGCAGCAACCCUGACGCGCUCGGGGUCCAUCGAGUCCGUGCGGAAGGCACGACUCACAACUGUCGGAGGAGACCCGACAAGCAAGUCCGAUGGGAAGAACACCAAGGACGUCGCUACCCUGAGAGGAGCCACUCCGGGCAGUGCGGCGUCCGGCACAACGACCCCAGGAAGGGAGUUCCUGGGUAGUGCGAUGUCCGACAAGUCAUCCCCGGGAAGGGAGUUCCCGGGCAGUGCGGCGUCCGGCACGACGACCCCGGGAAGGGAGUUCCCGGGCAGUGUGACAUCAGGAACUACGACCCCAGGAACACUGACGCCCACGAGCGAGGUGGUUCCCGGGCAGUUCAUGUCCCCGUCAACAGCGCGGUCGGACUUGUUCGAUGCCAACAAAAAUGGUGGCGAUCCACACAGGUUCCGAAGCCUGGGGGGACCUUCUCGAGCCCGCGAGACGAUCGCAGCACCCGAGAUCAAGAAGCACGAACAGGGCGUACGGGCCGCCGAGAAGGCGGACAUCCCAACGAAGGUACUUGGUUGCGUCGAGUUCCAAGAACCGCGCAACAAGAUCGGGAUCAUCGACAUCAAGACCCUCCGACAUGGUUGA